CAAUAGCGUAUAUUAAAGUUGUUGCGGUUAAAAAGCUCGUAGUUGGAUUUCUGCUGAGGACGACCGGUCCGCCCUUCGGGUGAGUAUCUGGCUCUUUCUUGGCAUCUUCUUGGUGAACGUUGCUGCACUUGACUGUGUGGAGCGCUACCCAGGACUUUUACUUUGAGGAAAUUAGAGUGUUUCAAGCAGGCAUACGCCUUGAAUACAUUAGCAUGGAAUAAUAAGAUAGGACCUCGGUUCUAUUUUGUUGGUUUCUAGAGCUGAGGUAAUGAUUAAUAGGGAUAGUUGGGGGCAUUCGUAUUUAACUGUCAGAGGUGAAAUUCUUGGAUUUGUUAAAGACGGACUACUGCGAAANCANNNGCCAAGGAUGUUUUCAUNGA
RNAcentral lists this ribosomal RNA (380 nucleotides) under uncultured eukaryote. Its description in RNAcentral is "partial 18S ribosomal RNA". It matches the Rfam family "Eukaryotic small subunit ribosomal RNA", at positions 592 to 976 of the family's 1831-position model. The record is from RNAcentral.